This 305-nucleotide unclassified non-coding RNA is filed under the name plant metagenome. RNAcentral describes it as "partial contains 5.8S ribosomal RNA, internal transcribed spacer 2, and large subunit ribosomal RNA". The stretch from base 1 to 105 matches the Rfam family "5.8S ribosomal RNA", at positions 50 to 154 of the family's 154-position model. The record is from RNAcentral.
GAAAUGCGAUAAGUAGUGUGAAUUGCAGAAUUCAGUGAAUCAUCGAAUCUUUGAACGCACAUUGCGCCCCUUGGUAUUCCAUGGGGCAUGCCUGUUCGAGCGUCAUCUACACCCUCAAGCUCUGCUUGGUGUUGGGCGUCUGUCCCGCCCCCGCGCGUGGACUCGCCCCAAAUCCAUUGGCAGCGUUCCUUGCCCCCUCUCGCGCAGCACAUUGCGCUUCUCGAGGGCGGCUCCGGGACGCGAUCCAGCAAGAUGACCACCGUCUUUGACCUCGGAUCAGGUAGGGAUACCCGCUGAACUUCAGC